This 289-nucleotide ribosomal RNA is filed under the name uncultured Sphingomonadaceae bacterium. RNAcentral describes it as "partial 16S ribosomal RNA". Lineage: Bacteria; Pseudomonadati; Pseudomonadota; Alphaproteobacteria; Sphingomonadales; Sphingomonadaceae. The record is from RNAcentral.
CUACCAGGGUUUCUAAUCCUGUUUGCUCCCCACGCUUUCGCACCUCAGCGUCAAUAUGUGUCCAGUAAGUCGCCUUCGCCACUGGUGUUCUUCCGAAUAUCUACGAAUUUCACCUCUACACUCGGAAUUCCACUUACCUCUCCACAAUUCUAGCGAUGCAGUCUUAAAGGCAAUUCCGGAGUUGAGCCCCGGGCUUUCACCUCUAACUUACAAAGCCGCCUACGUGCGCUUUACGCCCAGUAAUUCCGAACAACGCUAGCUCCCUCCGUAUUACCGCGGCUGCUGGCAC